This 827-nucleotide ribosomal RNA is filed under the name Enterobacter hormaechei. RNAcentral's name for it is "partial 23S ribosomal RNA". It matches the Rfam family "Bacterial large subunit ribosomal RNA", at positions 146 to 1014 of the family's 2925-position model. Lineage: Bacteria; Pseudomonadati; Pseudomonadota; Gammaproteobacteria; Enterobacterales; Enterobacteriaceae. The record is from RNAcentral.
CACUAUCGUUAACUGAAUACAUAGGUUAACGAGGCGAACCGGGGGAACUGAAACAUCUAAGUACCCCGAGGAAAAGAAAUCAACCGAGAUUCCCCCAGUAGCGGCGAGCGAACGGGGAGCAGCCCGGAGUCUGAAUCAGCUUGUGUGUUAGUGGAACGGUCUGGAAAGUCCGACGGUACAGGGUGAUAGUCCCGUACACGAAAACACACUUGCUGUGAACUCGAAGAGUAGGGCGGGACACGUGGUAUCCUGUCUGAAUAUGGGGGGACCAUCCUCCAAGGCUAAAUACUCCUGACUGACCGAUAGUGAACCAGUACCGUGAGGGAAAGGCGAAAAGAACCCCGGCGAGGGGAGUGAAAAAGAACCUGAAACCGUGUACGUACAAGCAGUGGGAGCACCUUCGGGUGUGACUGCGUACCUUUUGUAUAAUGGGUCAGCGACUUAUAUUCUGUAGCAAGGUUAACCGUAUAGGGGAGCCGAAGGGAAACCGAGUCUUAACUGGGCGUUAAGUUGCAGGGUAUAGACCCGAAACCCGGUGAUCUAGCCAUGGGCAGGUUGAAGGUUGGGUAACACUAACUGGAGGACCGAACCGACUAAUGUUGAAAAAUUAGCGGAUGACCUGUGGCUGGGGGUGAAAGGCCAAUCAAACCGGGAGAUAGCUGGUUCUCCCCGAAAGCUAUUUAGGUAGCGCCUCGUGAACUCAUCUUCGGGGGUAGAGCACUGUUUCGGCUAGGGGGCCAUCCCGGCUUACCAACCCGAUGCAAACUACGAAUACCGAAGAAUGUUAUCACGGGAGACACACGGCGGGUGCUAACGUCCGUCGUGAA